Molecule: ribosomal RNA, 253 nt
Filed under: uncultured bacterium
Lineage: Bacteria
Description: partial 16S ribosomal RNA
Rfam family: Bacterial small subunit ribosomal RNA
Source: RNAcentral
UACGGGGGGAGCAAGCGUUGUUCGGAUUUACUGGGCGUAAAGAGCGUGUAGGCGGCCAGACAGGUCAGCUGUGAAAACUCGAGGCUCAACCUCGAGACGUCGGUUGAAACCGUUUGGCUAGAGUCCGGAAGAGGAGAGUGGAAUUCCCGGUGUAGCGGUGAAAUGCGCAGAUAUCGGGAAGAACACCCGUGGCGAAGGCGGCUCUCUGGGACGGUACUGACGCUGAGACGCGAAAGCGUGGGGAGCGAACAGG